RNAcentral lists this ribosomal RNA (370 nucleotides) under Xenohyla truncata (Izecksohn's Brazilian treefrog). RNAcentral describes it as "partial 16S ribosomal RNA". It matches the Rfam family "Bacterial large subunit ribosomal RNA", at positions 1994 to 2515 of the family's 2925-position model. Lineage: Eukaryota; Metazoa; Chordata; Amphibia; Anura; Hylidae. The record is from RNAcentral.
GAAUGGCACCACGAGGGUUAUACUGUCUCCUUUUUCUAAUCAAUGAAACUAAUCUCCCCGUGAAGAAGCGGGGAUAACCAUAUAAGACGAGAAGACCCUAUGGAGCUUUAAACUUUAUAGCACCAGCUUAAUAAUUUCUCACAUUUCAGAGUAUUAACAAUAACUCUAGCUUCAUGACUAUAAGUUUUAGGUUGGGGUGACCGCGGAGCAAAAAUUAACCUCCACAUUGAACGGAAACAAUCCUGAGCCAAAAGCUACAACUUUAAGCACCAAUAAAUUGACAUCAAUUGACCCAAUAUUUUGAUCAACGAACCAAGUUACCCUAGGGAUAACAGCGCAAUCCGCCUCAAGAGCCCCUAUCGACAGGCGG